GCCCUGGUAGUGAAAUAAUGAAGCAGUUGGCUGUUAACUAAAAGGUUGGUGGUUCGAACCCACCCAGUGGCU
Molecule: transfer RNA, 72 nt
Filed under: Loxodonta africana (African savanna elephant)
Lineage: Eukaryota; Metazoa; Chordata; Mammalia; Proboscidea; Elephantidae
Rfam family: tRNA
About the family: Transfer RNA (tRNA) molecules are approximately 80 nucleotides in length.
Source: Rfam by way of RNAcentral